RNAcentral lists this ribosomal RNA (497 nucleotides) under uncultured bacterium. Its description in RNAcentral is "partial 16S ribosomal RNA". It matches the Rfam family "Bacterial small subunit ribosomal RNA", at positions 28 to 507 of the family's 1533-position model. The record is from RNAcentral.
GAUGAACGCUGGCGGCGUGCCUAAUACAUGCAAGUCGAACGGACAGGCACGGAUCUUGCUCCUCGCACGUGUGGCGCGGGCGGGUGAAAAACACGUGUAUAACCUCCCUAUAAGUCUGGGAUAACUUCGGAAAACGGGAGCUAAUCCCGGAGGAGAUAUUGAACCACGUGGUGCAAUGGUAAAAUACGGUGUUGCGGUCACUUAUCGAUGGAUCCGCGCCGCAUUAGCUAGUUGUUAAGGUAACAGCUUACCAAGGCAACGAUGCGUAGCCGACCUGAGAGGGUGAUCGGCCACACUGGAACUGAGACACGGUCCAGACGCCUACGGGAGGCAGCAGUAGGGAAUCUGCCGCAAAGGGCGAAAGCCUGACGGAGCAACGCCGCGUGAGUGAUGAAGGCCUUCGGAUCGUAAAACUCUGUUAUUAGGGAAGAACAAAUGUGUAAGUAACCAUGCACGUCUUGACGGUACCUAAUCAGAAAGCCACGGCUAACUACGUG